UACGUAGGGUGCAAGCGUUGUCCGGAAUUAUUGGGCGUAAAGAGCUCGUAGGCGGCUCGGCACGUCCGUUGUGAAAUCGCCCGGCUCAACUGGGCGGGGUCAGCGGAUACGGUCGAGCUUGAGCAAGCUAGGGGGCAAUGGAAUUCCCGGUGUAGUGGUGGAAUGCGUAGAUAUCGGGAGGAACACCAGUGGCGAAGGCGGUUGCCUGGAGCUUUGCUGACGCUGAUGCGCGAAAGCGUGGGGAGCGAUCCGG
RNAcentral lists this ribosomal RNA (253 nucleotides) under uncultured bacterium. RNAcentral's name for it is "partial 16S ribosomal RNA". It matches the Rfam family "Bacterial small subunit ribosomal RNA", at positions 524 to 776 of the family's 1533-position model. The record is from RNAcentral.